UACGGAGGAUGCAAGCGUUAUCCGGAAUGAUUGGGAGUAAAGCGUCCGCAGGUGGUUGUGUGUGUCUAUUGUCAAAGCAUCAUGCUUAACAUGAUAAAGGCAGUAGAAACUACAAGACUAGAGUGCGUUCGGGGCAGAGGGAAUUCCUGGUGUAGCGGUGAAAUGCGUAGAGAUCAGGAAGAACACCGGUGGCGUAAGUGCUCUGCUAGGCCGCAAUUGACUCUGAGGGACGAAAGCUAGGGGAGCGAAUGGG
This 253-nucleotide ribosomal RNA is filed under the name uncultured bacterium. RNAcentral describes it as "partial 16S ribosomal RNA". It matches the Rfam family "Bacterial small subunit ribosomal RNA", at positions 524 to 776 of the family's 1533-position model. The record is from RNAcentral.